GAUGAACGCUGGCGGCGUGCCUAACACAUGCAAGUCGAGCGAUUCUCUUCGGAGAAGAGCGGCGGACGGGUGAGUAACGCGUGGUUAACCUGCCCUGUACACACGGAUAACAUACCGAAAGGUAUGCUAAUACGGGAGAAUAUGUUAUGCUCGCAUGGUCGAACUAUCAAAGCUACGGCGGUUCAGGAUGGACCCGCGUGUGAGUAGCGAGUUGGUGAGGUAAUGGCUGACCAAGGCGACGAUCAGUAGCCGACCUGAGAGGGUGAUCGGCCACAUUGGAACUGAGACACGGUCCAAACUCCUACGGGAGGCAGCAGUGGGGAAUAUUGCACAAUGGGCGAAAGCCUGAUGCAGCAACGCCGCGUGAGCGAUGAAGGCCUUCGGGUCGUAAAGCUCUGUCCUCAAGGAAGAUAAUGACGGGACUUGAGGAGGAAGCCCCGGCUAACUACGUGCCAGCCGCCGCGGUAA
This 468-nucleotide ribosomal RNA is filed under the name uncultured bacterium. Its description in RNAcentral is "partial 16S ribosomal RNA". It matches the Rfam family "Bacterial small subunit ribosomal RNA", at positions 28 to 523 of the family's 1533-position model. The record is from RNAcentral.